AAGACAAGGGCAAAGAUCUUUUUGGCCUUUGCCAAGUCCGAGUUUGUUCUUUUUAUUUUCUUGCCCGACUGGAGGUGCGGGAAGUGGACGCCAGCGUCUGCUGCCUGGGAGUCUGAGGGAUUUACACCCGGACUCCUCCGCCACCAUUACCCCGGCCCGGAAUGGCCACGCGGGGGAGCAGGGUGGGAUGAAGACGGCUACGUGUGCCCUCUGCCCCAGAGCCUGGUGGAGGUGUCCUCACAGCCCACGCCCUCACUUGACUUCGGAGGGAGGGCCCCAGUCCAGCCUUGAUGGCCAGAAAAACCUCCCCACCAACCCGGACACGUUUCUGAGGGGGAGGCCCGGCUCCGGCUGGACACACUAAUUGAAGAGGCGGGGCUGUAAGGACAAAUAUUGUUUUCCUAAAAAGAUGGGUGAAAUGCACAAACCGUCAUUCCAAACCCAAAGCUACUCUGGCUUCACCAUUGGCUCCCUGAAAGACCUCCUGUCGGAACUACGGAGCAGAGGCUCCUAAGCCCUGGUUAAUCCACCAGAGAAUGAUUACAGCAAUUUUAUAAUGUGAAUUUGUCUGUGAUAUGUUUUUAGUCUUUAAUCGGUUUUGGCAUCCCAUUUGAAGAGAUGGAAAUACAGGGAUUUGAGAUGUAUUAAAUCAUUUCUCCAACAAUUA
Otolemur garnettii (small-eared galago) is the source of this 667-nucleotide long non-coding RNA. RefSeq lists it as uncharacterized. NCBI's taxonomy places the organism in Eukaryota, Metazoa, Chordata, Mammalia, Primates, Galagidae. The transcript has 2 exons. The record is from RefSeq and is a predicted model, not a curated record.